RNAcentral lists this ribosomal RNA (714 nucleotides) under uncultured archaeon. RNAcentral describes it as "bacterial SSU rRNA". The stretch from base 74 to 714 matches the Rfam family "Archaeal small subunit ribosomal RNA", at positions 1 to 659 of the family's 1478-position model. The record is from RNAcentral.
UGAUCGCCAGCUCUAUACGACUCACUUCAGGGCUGCUCGGGGGGGCCUUCAAUUCGACGGGCCCGGGUCCGAUUAUCCGGUUGAUCCUGGCAGAGGUCUCCGUUCUCGGGGUUCGAUUAAGCCAUGCGAGUCGAGAGGGUUCAGACCCUCGGCGGACUGCUCAGUAACACGUGGAUAAUCUGCCCUAUGGUGGAGGAUAACCCCGGGAAACUGUUUUUUAUUACUCCAUAAGUCAGGAGUACUGGAAUGUCUCCUAACUGAAAGUUGCGGCGCCAUAGGAUGUUUUCAUCAUCUCUUUUAGGUAGUUGUUGGGGUAACGGCCCAACAAGCUCCUUUUAUCGGUACGGGUUGUGGCGAGCCACGCCCCCUGGAGAUGGAAUCUGAGACACGAUUCCAGGCCCUACGGGGCGCAGCAGGCGCGAAUAACUUUACAAUGCGGAAACUGUGAUAAGGGAACCCCGAGUGCCCGUAAACGCGGUCUGUCUCGGUGUUUAAAACACAUCGGAAGAAAGGGCCGAACAAGACUGGUGCCAGCCGCGCGCUAAUACCGGCGGCUCGAGUGAUGACACUUUUUAUGGCUAAAGCGUUCGUAGCUGGAUUUUAGUCUCUGGGAAAUCUCCGCCUACUGCAGGCGUCUAGAAAACUGGCAUCUAGACGCAAGUAAGUACUCAGGUCAAUUAUUCUGUAUUCUGAGACCCGAUGGCGAGAUUUACG